GACGAACGCUGGCGGCGUGCUUAACACAUGCAAGUCGAACGGUGAAGGGAUCAGCUUGCUGGUCCUGGAUGAGUGGCGAACGGGUUAGUAACACGUGAGUAACCUGCCCGCUUCUUAUGGAUAACCGCCUGAAAUUGUGGCUCAUACGGUAUAUUCUGCGCCUGCGGCAUGGUGGUGGUGGGAAAGAUAUUGUUUCGGUGGGGGAUGGGCUCGCGGCCUAUCAGCUUGUUGGUGGGGUGAUGGCCUACCAAGGCGGUGACGGGUAGCCGGCCUGAGAGGGUGGACGGUUAGAAUUGGACUGAGACCCGGCCCAGAAUGGUACGGGAGGCAGCAGUAGGGAAUACUGCGCGAUGGGCGCAAGCCUGAUGAAGCGACGCCGAGUGAGGGAUGGAGGCCUUCGGGUUGUGAACCUCUUUCGCAAGAGAAGCAGGCUUGUCCCUUGUGGGUGGGUUGACGGUAGCUUGAUAAGAAGCGCCGGCUAACUACGUG
RNAcentral lists this ribosomal RNA (489 nucleotides) under uncultured bacterium. RNAcentral describes it as "partial 16S ribosomal RNA". It matches the Rfam family "Bacterial small subunit ribosomal RNA", at positions 28 to 507 of the family's 1533-position model. The record is from RNAcentral.